UAGCGCCAGACAGUUGUAACACAGGCUGUUGACGAGGGACAGAGUUAUCGAAAAUUCGGCGGAUGCUCUGUCGGGACGGCACAUCUCGUAAGUUCUGCUUUUAAAACCCCGGGUGACCGGAAAACAGAGGGG
Molecule: non-coding RNA, 132 nt
Filed under: uncultured Eubacterium sp.
Lineage: Bacteria; Bacillati; Bacillota; Clostridia; Eubacteriales; Eubacteriaceae
Description: glmS glucosamine-6-phosphate activated ribozyme
Rfam family: glmS glucosamine-6-phosphate activated ribozyme aptamer
About the family: This entry contains a glucosamine-6-phosphate activated ribozyme that is found in the mRNA for GlmS. GlmS is an enzyme that uses fructose-6-phosphate and glutamine to generate glucosamine-6-phosphate.
Source: RNAcentral